CUUAGAAUAAAAAAAUUUUAAUAAGUAUAAAAUUUUAAAAAGUUUUAAAUACGUAAUAAGAAACGUCUUUUUAUUAUUUUAUCAAAUUAUUAUUUAACAAUUUUUACUAAAAAAAUACGUUCCACCUCAAAAAGAAAAAAAAAAUAAGUAGUGCAAAUCGUAGUUAGCAUACGACCAAAUUUCUUUCUUUUAAGUAUGGUUUUUGAUUUAAUUAGGAGUCCUUAAUUUUCUUUUCUUUUAAGUUUCGUUUGUUUUGAUUUUCUAUAAUAAUUAGUUUUUUUAUGAAAAAAGUUUCUCAAAUUAGAUUAGAUUUCUUCCAUGUUUCAUCAACUCUUUCUUANNN
Molecule: long non-coding RNA, 343 nt
Filed under: Capsicum annuum
Lineage: Eukaryota; Viridiplantae; Streptophyta; Magnoliopsida; Solanales; Solanaceae
Description: long non-coding RNA (CANN_LNC000620)
Source: RNAcentral